Molecule: long non-coding RNA, 607 nt
Organism: Anopheles gambiae (African malaria mosquito)
Lineage: Eukaryota; Metazoa; Arthropoda; Insecta; Diptera; Culicidae
Exons: 3
Source: RefSeq, a predicted model, not a curated record
AUCCACCACCUGGUCCAUAUAGAUGAGUACGCGUGUGUGUUUGUGUGCGUGUGCAUCACAACGGCAUGUCUGGCACGGAACCGAAGCCUACUUUCCCAGCCAACAGUGGAUGGUGGAAAUUGACGCCCGACGGAACAGAUGAUUGGGAACCACUGUGUGGCAACCAGCGGAAAACUGACGGCACCAACCGUUCAACGCAGCCUCACAGCUUCACAGAGAUCGUAGCAACCCAUCGAUGGUCGCGGGUCGCAGGUCACCAACAUACACAAUGCAGCUUCACCAGCCGACGAAGGAUUCUACCGCCAGAGGGCUGCUGCUACCCCGAAAACACCGAACUGUAUACACGCACGCACGCACACACAUACACACACAUGCACGCACACGCACGCCAGCCGAAAGGGAUGAGGGAGUUGGGAGGUCAGCGAACCAAAAUAUUGCCUUCGAAAUGCCUGUCACCGCUCGCAGGGAAGCUGGAGGGCGAGCGAACCGGAGACGAGCGGGGUACGACGACGCGUCGUUGUCUGCCGGACGAGAGCAGGCGCUGGCUGGAAAUGUACAGCUCCAGGCUCCCUCCCUCCCCCCGUUUCAUCGAUGUGUGACUCCUACC